Non-coding RNA from Struthio camelus australis, 14876 nucleotides. The record is from RefSeq and is a predicted model, not a curated record. Lineage: Eukaryota; Metazoa; Chordata; Aves; Struthioniformes; Struthionidae.
CCUCUUUAACCACUUUGUAAAAGUAAGGAGGAAAGCCGGGCGGAACCGAGCCCUGCAAACACGGGGGAUCCCUUCCCCCUUACAUCCCACCUCUAGCGUGACGGCGGUGGCGAGAUGAGGACGGGGCAUGCGCACCGUGGUGUGUAUGGGGGAAAGGUCCCGCACACGGGACCGCGGCUCCAGCUGGAUGGGCGCCACGCAAACGCCUCCCAGAGCCUGCCUGCGUGUCUGUGGGAAAUGAACCGGAGUCACCAGAGAUUGAAUUAUGCCAGUGCCUGAGAACGGAUUCUGGAUCUGCCACACUUUCUUUACUGGAAGAGUACCUCAAUAUGUGAACAUGCGCGCAGGCUUCACUAUUCCUUGGACAGAAGUUUUAGCCCAGAUAAGGGCUGUUGUAGGAGGCAUGACAAGAAUGUCGACCAUCUGCUCUCCUUGAUCAAGUGCCUUUCAGCAGAUUUUUCCUGAAGGAAUGCUGGGUAGCCAGCCCUUUGUGUGCCUGACAGCUGUCUGUUACAAGCAAGAAUACAUCUGAUGCGGUAGAGGGAUAUAUUGGCCUUCUCUGCUUCCUAAACAGAAGAGAAUUUGCCAUUUCUAACUGGUGCCAGCACAGAAGCAAAGGUGCAUCUGGUUGUCUAUCUAUCUGAUGAAGAUUGGUUUUGAAAUGUAUCCCAUCUCUGACUGGAGGGAACGUGGCCAGGACAAGAGGCUUCCAGGGUUAAUAGCAGAUAAAUGUCUAUCUGAGAAGGGAGUUGUGCACUUGAACUCCACUUGCAGAGAACGACUGGUGAAAUGUGUGCUAGAAGCAACCGGAUCCAUAACUCUGAUUAAAGAGGUUCUACAAAAGUAACUGUUCUACUGAUUAACGAGUUGAGGCUCUACCAUAACCGUUCUAACUAAGAUGUGCACAGGGAAUUUUCUCAGGCGCGCAAGAAUGACACAAAGCGAAGCUGAUUUCCCCGAACAGAUAGAAGAGCAACGUGAUGAAGCCGAAGUGGUGGCGUGGGAGAUUGCGCUCCUGCCACAGCGGAAGAAAGCCCGACUUGAAAGGGAAGCACCGGCAUUUGCCGCCCGAGAUGAAAGCUGCUGGGGGACCUGUUUAAGGAGACUUAUGAAUUGUUCAGGUAUUGUAAGUGCCAGCCAAUGCAGAUUUUAGCUGCGCUUCCUUGCCCUGCAACCCUCCUACUGCUUCAAAGUAAAUAGCUUUGUCCUGCCUGUCACCAUUUGAUCAAUGUCUUUACGAUGCCACAAGAAGCUUCACGGAGACAGCAAGCGAAAAAAGAUGGAGAUGAUUAACACGUGUAUAAAAGCAGUGCAGGCUGCAGCGGGAAAAGGAUUAUGUUAAUGCUGGCAAUGUCUGUAUAGCGCAGGGAUGACAUGAUCCUCCAUGAGUGAACACAACCGGUAGCAAAGAUGCGUUCUUGGCAGCCUGGCUGAAGAUAUUGCUGCACAUCUUUCAGAAAAGCAAUCACAUUCCCUCAGUCCAGACUGGUUUAGAACGCCUUCAUAACUGGAUUUGUCAGAGAGCACCAGGCAGAAUAAAACCUCCCAGAAACAUGCCAUCACCUGUCCCAGCAGCUUCGGGAACACUGCGAUCGCCAGCUGCAUCCAUCUGCCCUGACAAGGGAGGAAUCCAGCUCGGUGCACUGAGUGUACUUGCUUCUUGGCAAAAUGUGUAGUGUGUGUGUUUUUUUCUUUUUCUUGUGCCCAAAGAUCAGCCAGACAAUUUAGAGGUCAGCAGUGAAUAUGAGGUGAUUUAAAAAUGAUUAACAGCACUUUCAACUGUAAUUUCAAGAUCGGGAAACUGCUUGGCACAGGGAGCAAUUUUAUUGGCUGUUAAAGCAUUUUUAAGAUGUAGAAUAAUAUAUAAGGCUUGCUUUGCUGCAUAGUACCUUUAAUGGUCAGCUUUCUUUUAAUCAGAUUCUGCAAUAUUCAUUUUCUCAAGAAUAGCACUACUUAAUUAUAAGAACUUUAAUAAACCAAUUCUGUUGGUUGUAGAUGUCUUGGGAUAAUCAAAUUCUCAGGGGUAGAGAGGCAUUUUGCUUCUGCCUCAUAAUUGGCCAGGAUUGUGAUUAUUUUAUGAUAAAACUGCACCUCCUGCUAGGUCAUGCUGCUUAAUUAAUGCACUCUUUUUCAAAGAACUUACCAGCCCAUGAGAAAUGGGGCGAUAGCCAAAUCUUAGACUUGCCCUACUGGAAUUAUUUAACAUGUAGGAAAGUGUUUGUUUCCAUCCUGGAAGUAAAAAGGUUUUGUUUUUUGGCGCACUGAGGAAAGUCAAUUUUCUGCUCUUCCUUAUUUCUCUUUUGCUGAGCAGUUUCAGACCAUUGCUUACUGGAGUGUAGCAUGCAACAUUUUGAUUUAACUAUAUCUAACACCUACCAGGGUAGUGUGAGAGAGUGAAAACCUCAAUGCAUAACCCAGUUAUAGAAGAGAACACAUACAUGUCAAAGUUUGUUUAGUUUUAGCCUUCAGGAACUAACUCUAGGAAGGAAUGAGAGAGUAUCACAGUUGAGUUUCUGUGGCAAGUUGGACUUUGCCUCCCUUGCUGAGGCUGCCAACAGCAGUGUUGAGAGGAUACUGCUGCUGCCCGUGCGUCUGCUAGUACUUGCACGGGCACCCAUGACACUUUUCAUCCCACUGACCUGCCCUCAGUUUGGCCAGAUGACCUGGAGGGUGCAAGCUCCCCAGCCGCAUCACCAACCGCCUGAACUGUUAGGGGUAAAGCCUGUUGGCAAAGCCCGUCUUCACUCCUCCGCCCGCAAAGUGUCUAGUUUCUCAUUGAUUGCCUCUCAAUUCCUGAAGGAUUAAGCUGAUAAAGGGUCUGGCCGGGGGGUCCUGGGCUGCCUGUGAGCCUUUGGAGACUCUGCUCUUUCCUGGACUGGUGUCCUCUGCACCGUUCUUCAGUAGCCUCCGUGUUGGGGAAAGACAAAAAAUAACCCUGCGGUAAGUAAAUCUCCACAAUGCUCCACACUAGUGCAAUAGCGAUGAAUUUAUAGCUUUCACACUUCUAAAAAUGAAAUGUUUUGACCUGCUGUUAGAUUGGCUGAAGGCUUCUUCGAACAAGCUUCAAUUUAUAAGUAUUAUGUUGUGAGCGCGCUGAUACCAUCAGCGAUAGCGGCACCCAUUGAAACAAAAAUACCCUACAUCAAGCACGUUUUGAAAAUAAUGUUGCCACCUAAAAGCUUCUCUCCUGCAGAAAAUGGAUUGUACAGCAGCUUAUCAGUUGGAGAAGAGUGCACAGGAGAAAAAAAAAAGAGAAAUAAAAAUAAUAAAACCCACUCCUGUGUAGAACAUUAGAAAUGUGGCACUAACAAAGACUUCCCGUUCCACCUAGAAUUAGUGCUGGCAGAGGCACCUCGCAGGGCUGUGGGUGUACUCAGCUGUGCAGAGCUGAUUAUAGAAGAUGAAAGAGCCUGGCAAUUUAUUUCAUCUCACACUGAAGCACUGCUGACAACUGAAAGUGAGGACAGAAGGAUUCAUUUGUUCAACUUCUGUUUUAGAAAGCAGGCUUCAAAUGAUACCACAGAGAAAGUGGAGGGAAAUGCUGUGGUGUAAUAAAGUGCCUAUUUUUUAUUUCACUGACUCCAAGAUUUAUAUUUUUAGCUGUUGGGGUUUUUUUGUUUGGAUGGGAGGGAGAGCUGAUAUUUGAGAUGUCUGCAACACCAGGUUACUAGUGAAAAAAGUAGGUGGCGUUGGCCUAACUGAGUACAUGUAAUCAUAAGUUAUAUAUACAUACAAGUAUGCAAACAGGGAAGCUAUAAAUAGAUAUGUGUAUAAAUAUGUAUAUAACACCUUUCCUUCCAUUCUGUUGAACUACUGUGGCCUGAAGAGUUUCAUAAUCUAUUUCAGUGCUGAAAUGUUUAAACUGGAGUGUUUAAUUGUAGUAUUAAAAUUUACUCAGUGACCAUAAUAGUAUAUAAUUCUUGGCAAAUUGGAUGAUAUAUAUUUUACUCUUAAUGCUUUUCUCAUGCAAUAAAACCUCAGGGAUAGAUGGCUGGAGCCCUUAAGAAGGGGAUACGUGCAGGUGAACAGUGCAAGAAACAGGUAUGGUAUGAAACCAUCCUCUGGAGAAGUAAGUCAGACCUUGCUUUUCCUUCAUUGUCUCUGCAUGUGGCAGACUGAACGAGAACGAGUGGGCUUAAAUUGUGGGUGCAAAAAGUCACAUUAGGAAAGCUUUCAAAGGAUAAGGACGGUGAAACCUGGGAAAAGGGUGCCUGGGGAUGUCGUGGAGCCUUCCUCACUGGGAGUCUGUAAGACUGAUGUAGACUCACAUCUGUCAAGAUUGACAGUGGUAUGAUUGAUCCUGCCUUGGGGCAGGAAGAAAAACCAGAUGAUGUCUUGAGGUUCCCGAGAUUCUAUGUGUAUGUUGGUUAUUUUUAAGGACCUCAUCUUUAUUUUUAAAUCAUGGUUAACCAAGCAUGUUAUUUCCCUUUAGUGCUAAAACAUAGUUUACAAGUAAAAACAGCCUGACUCUAUCAGAAUCAGAACAAAGAUCUGCCGAAACGGUUAUUACAUUGAAAUCAGGUUAAAAUCUAGCUCUACAGUCUGAACAUAUUCUAAAUGUUAGCUGCAGUCAGUAGGAUUUGGGAUCUUAGAGGGCUGAAUAAAUUGCACACCUCAGACUUUGCGAUUCGAGACCUAGCAGAAAAGACAUCCAUCCUAAUAUUUUGUCAUAAUUAUAUGUUUGGUUCUAGGGUUAUAACAUAAUUACAGGCCAGAUUCCAUCCUUAGAACGCCAAAUUCCCAUUACUUUAUUUUUUUGCCUACAACGAAUAUUGGGUCAAAGGCAAUUGUUAUCCUAGACUAAACUAAAUUGUUAUCCUAGACUGUAAGCUAUAUGAGUAUAACUAGUAUUUUUUAAAUUUCUCAUCUAACAGAAAAAUAGUAAUAAAUAGCUUCAAACUGAGCCAAGCAAAAAAUUAUGACUUUUCUCAUGAAACGAGAAUUCAAUAAGACCAUUUUUAUUUGGAAAAAUUUUUUUUGCCGAAGGAGUUCAGAGGCUUUACAAAUUAAGUAUUGAAAAUAUCGUUUUACGGUUAUCAGAACGAAAAGUGUUGGUUCUUUCCAUUUUUUCAAAGGUUUUAUUAGCCAAAAUUAUAUGAACAGAACAAACCCCCGAAUUCUUCAGAUGGCCUUGUUCUUCAGUUUUUAAUUUUAGGUAAACGUUUUCACUCAGUUGGAUUAAGCAUGAGGUCUACCAGUACAUCCAACUUAACAGGAGUUAUGACAAAGUAGUGAAAUAUUUAUGAUAAAAGAGAAAUUAUGCUGAAUUGCAGCUUUUGUGCAAGUUUACAGGUAUAAUCUUAACCAUUAUUGCCUUUUGCUGUAAUGUAAAACUCUAAAAGUCUUUUCCCGAAUGUGUUCAAGAGGAAUAUAUUGUGUGCUGCCACAAUAUUGCCUUGCAGCAUCAUAAUGUGAAGAGAGUUCUUUUCAGUAGAACCCCUUUAUCACUAACUUUCCCCUUGCACGAUUGCCCUUACAUGCAUACUUUUUUCCCCAGAUUUUAUUGCACUAGUGUAUACCUGCAGCGAGGAAUAUUUUUGGAAUAUCUCCCCUCCCCCUCCAUAACAAAAAGUACGGUCGCUUAGUCACAAUUUUUCCAGGAACUGAAAUGUUGGCGCUUUCAAGGAUUAUACUUCUCAGUGCUGUGACCUACUAGGAAGAGAAAAUAUUGUACUAGUAUUUGUCACAGCAGGUUGCCAGGUAAACAGCCAUUUGUCAUUCAGUCAUAAAAGUGAGUGUCAUUUUCCAUAUAAAAAUCAGUUAAAUCUCAACAUGCCAAAUACUCUCAAUUGCUGCUUUCUGGACCUUCUGUAUAACGUGCAGUGGUAUAGUAGGAAAAAAACACAGAGAGAAAGAUGAUUAGGAAAGUGGUCACUAAUUAAUGAAAAAAAUUCCAGUUUGCCAAGCGAGGAACAUCAGACCAAGCUGCAACUUUCCAAACUGCAGUUUGGCUAAUGCAGAUGAUUAUCUACGUAAGACAUGCUGCUUGCAUGAAUUGUAACUCUUUCUCUUUGGCUAUUGUUAGGCCAUGUCCACCCAAACCUGAAUACUUUGUUCUGUUGCAACUCUCUUGUGAAAGCUAUGCCUAGACAAAUUAAAAAGCAAGGCAUAUUUCUCUUUUCUCUGCCUGCCUAUUAGAGAGGAAUUGGUUCAGCCUUAGCAAAAUGUGGAGGAGCGGAGAGUCGCGCAGCAGAAAGCGCAUCAGACCAUUCGGGAGCACAAGCUCUGCUGAUCCGUGCAAGUAAAGACCAGGGCGUCCUGGAGCAAAGCCCUGCCUAAUACCCGCUGUGCCUCCAGAUCACCUGAAUGUCCUCCAGUGCCACUUACUUUACUCCUCUUAUUUUCAUUAUUAUUCUCCAUAUAAACUGAGGAGCCUUUGAUAGUCCUGCAUCUCAGAGCACGGAUUUGGGGUGUAGCAGUAAGGCACUGUUCAGCUGCACUUGGUGGAGGUGUACUCUUUUUUGUAUCUGACAAGACUCUGGUGCAUACAUUUGAAUCCGCAUUUCAGCCUGUUUGUCCAUCCCUACUGGGCUUCUAAAGUAGUCAAUAAUUACCUCAAUGUCAUCAGAUCCAUACAAGGAGGAAUUUGCAUUAUGUGUAUUUGGUUGGUUACUCCUAGGUUAACCAUUUUCUGUUUUAAAUCAAUAUGAAAAGAAAAAGACUUGGAGACGAAGGAGCCUCGGUACAUGAUAUGGAUGUUAAGAGCACAGACUAUGAUACUGGAUGGCAGUAAGUACUAACUGCAGACAGCAUCCGUUUAUCUAACACGUUUUCUUUGUAUAUGGUGUAUCUAGACCACAUUUUGACACCAGGGAAGAAGACUGGUUUGCUACCGUUUGUCUUGUUAGCACUGUAUUGUAGAGUAUAUAUUACUACAGAAAAAUGACAAGGUGGUAUUCUGGCUAAGAGAAUAUCCAGUUUUUAAUGAAUGUUGUUUCGUAAAGAAAUGUGUUGAAAACAGGUUAUUUCAGAGGAUGUAUAACCGUUUUGUCAAGCAAUAGCGUGUUAGUGGUAAUUGUGUCCGAAGAACUAUACUAGAUGCUAACAAAAAUAGUUUCUCCAGAAUCCUUUCAGAUAUUUUUUUCUUAAAUUAGGAAACAAACAAUAUUUAACGUAUUUAAGUACUAUAUUAGUUCAACAGCUAUCGAGAUCAACUUUUCUCCUGUGGAAGCAUUAUGAUUUAGAACAAACUAUAACAUAGGUAGGUUCAAUCUCACACUGGGCAGAUAUUCUCCUUUCAAAAUAGUAGUAUCAGUGUCAACAUUAUGUGGUGCCUUCUGUGAUAGGGGAUGGUGUCUUUCAGCAGAAAAAUGUUUUACAAAUGGUCAUAUAGCUAUUCUCCCUCUAUGUAUAGGAGGCCGUAUCUACUUAAGUUAGAGCCAUGAUUUCAAAAUUAUGUUGGGAAUUUCUGUUGUGUGGAUGAUCAAAUCAAAGCAAGAGCCCUGUGAGACCUUCACCUACAGUAAGCCUUUGGGAAAUUUCUUGAAUCUUUAAUCUUAACCCGCAGCAACUAAUCCUCUCCUUGUGUGAAGGUGUGAGAGGGAAGGAGCAUGGACUUAGUGUCCUUGCCCUCACUGUUACUAUCCAGCCCUUACUAUCAUAUUCGAAAUUGCCUGGUGGCCUACACACUGAGUAGAGAAAACAUCAGUAGAUUUCAAAACUCACAAUUCAUAUUACUCAGCAUAAGGGAUCAUGCUUGCUUUUAUCUGUGAAUUAUGCAUUGCAGAUAAACUAUGGAGGAAAACUACACUGACAAGACAUUUCAUUAAUAUUAAGUAAGUGCUUUCAGAAAAAUAAGAAGAUAACCCAGUCAUGAUGAGUUGCAGAGAAGUGCUAUUUGAAAGGCUACCGCCCAUAAUCUUCUUGUUUGGAGGGGAGCAGGCACCUGUGCUGUCUAUGAAACCUUUUGGAGAAGUGGGUCCCGACGUGUCUUAUUCCGCGCAGAUGGGGAGUGCAUGCUGAGGAAUGGGCAGCGUUGUGCAAUAUGCCAGUUACAGUUUGAAAAUACCUGAGGUAGAUAACGUUUGUGCUUAGGCGCUGUGAAAACGCACACAGUUCAACUGCGAAACCUUGGAGAUGGCCAGAAUCCAGAUCUCCAAACUAGCUGUCUAGAGGAUGACAAGGUUACACAAAGAUUCUUACCGAACUGGUGGAAAUGAGCAGAAAAAUUAAACACCUAAUGAUCAAGUGCUGCUUCUGAACUUGCAGAGAUUUCAAGAGUUUGAUACAUGCUGGGAUUAGCUGAAAUAACUGCGUUGAAGGUGAUGAUCUUGGACUGCAGGUUAACCUCUGAGACAGAGUAUGCUUGAUGAAAUGAAGAUCAUCAAACUAUGUCUGUAAAACCACUAACUCUCUAUGAAGCUUCAUAGGACACGUAGACAUUCUUCUGACUUCAUUGGUUCAUGAAAUAGCAAGAUCAUGACGAACAUUCAAACCCAUGCAGCUAAGCGUAUUAUGCGUGGAGAGCACUCAAGAAGAGCCGGCUACCGUUAAAGCACAACAUGACUCAAGCUCAGGGACAGGAGAUGGAAGUUGCAGAGCCACAUUGUCCAGGCAAUCAGUGCUGUCCACUUUAUAUCUUCCUUCUCAGACCCAAUAAAUCCUUACUUAUGUUUCUUCUUACGGUUCUUAGUAUAAGCAGCAAAUCUACAGGACCUAACUAAUGUAAGGGAUCUUUCCAGCAUCCAUGUUGGUAGAGGCCUGGGAGAGUUCAAAGGUGGCUUUAAAGCUAUGUUUACUUUCUUUUAAGAGACAAGAAUAAGGAACGUUGCUGUCUGUUUCCUACACUUAAUUAUUGGUAUGAUCUUUCUUCUCAAAUAUAAGACAUAUAAGGUUUAGUCUUGUAUAUAAUUUCAUUUUGUAUGUAUAUAGGGUAAGAUGCAGGGUUAUGCUUGUGUCCAAUUACUUUCAAAUUAAGUAGAUGCCACGUCUCAAUAUUUCUGUGCAUUGCUGUGAAUUUUUUAAAACAGAAUACUACUGCCAAAAAGUAGGCUGAGCCUUUCUCACAGAUGUAUCUUGGAAGUCCAAGAAAUCCGAAGGACAGCUGCUCCCUCACCACAGCCUGUGGGUCUAUAGCAGGACAAAAGAGAAAAGAGACUUCUCCACUUCUUCCCAUUGCCACUCUAUGGAUUUCUUACCUUCAAAUAAGACAUUGUUGCCUCACCUAGUAAUUUUCUGGAAGUAAGUCUCAAAUGCAAUUUGGGAAGUGAGUUCACAACAGUGCUGUGUCUGCCUUGUUGCGCUCCAGAUUAACUCUUAAUUCUAUUCCUGAGGGUGCCGGUGGAGCGUGUGUUCUGAAUAAACAUGACAACGCAAAAUUAAUCCCAUUUCUAUGGCCUUAUUCAGUUUUUACAAUUUAAUAUUCUGCAAUGACAGAUGUACUGUCACCUGGAGUAUGUGCUCUAUUUGAAAAAAUGCUGGUGCAAAGUGUCCUGUGGGGAGUGAUAAUAAGACUUGUAGCCUUUACGUCAUCUAUUUCUUAACUCAGAGUUGUGGUUUUGCUGUGCAGUCGGUAUAAUUCUUUUUUAUGUGGAAAUUAGAGGGGGCUGUGUGAAUGUUGUAGUCAAUGAUCCUUAUUAAGCUAGUAGAUUAACCUGGAAGUGAAUAAGAGUAUAAAAUAAUUGCAGAAGUAAAAAUUUACAGAAAGGAACAUUUGAUGUUGCGUUCAGUCACUUUUUCCAGACCUAGCAAACUAUUUUCGUUUCAAACGUUCAGACAUACCUUUCAAGUAGGUGCUAUAAUUUAGGAUUCUUUCGGCAGGUUUUGCCAUUCUAGUUAGGCAGUUUCUCCUAAGUGCUAACCUUGUGGCAGUUUCCAAUACGUCAGAGAUUACUGAAAAACAGACGUUUUGAAAAUUAUGUCUGUUAUAUAGGUAACUAUAUAGAUGUGGCUAUAUAGAUAACUCAUAUAGAUAUAGAGUCUUAAAAUAGCUACAUUUACGAAUUUCUAACUUAAUGGCUCUUUGAGGUUUUAAUUCUCUUAUGCUGCUUCAUAGGCAGGUACAGCUUGCCCAGCCUUCCAUUGAGUGUGCACAGGCUGAGAUCUGUGUAAAAUCAAGCUGGAAAAAAAAAUGUAAUUUAUUACAAGUAGGCUUUAUUCCCUAGAACAUUUACGGCAAAAGUUUAGCAUGUUAAGGAAAAUUAGCAUAAUGUCUUUCUGCUAGAUCUGUUAAAGGAUGGUAGUAAAAUGUCUUCCUGCCAGUGUCAUUUCACAGCUUGCAUUUGCUAGAAAAUACUGUUUUAUUAGCACAUGUUGCCUCAGUCUGAGAGACUGUCACAAUGUUAAGCACCUGUCCACUGCCAGUUUGACUUAAAUUACUUUGUUGUGAUUCAUUCGAAUGUGAGAGCUACUUGCCUUGCUCUUUUUGUGUGGAGAAGUGAACAAAUAUAUGUUUUCUUCUUUCCUCAUAAGUAGCUCCCAAUGCCAUGCACAGUUUACUAGCUUGUGUUAUGGUUGCUCAUCUGUUGCUAUUUAGCAAUCCAGGGGACAGGGCACUACAAGAGCAACCAAGUGACUUGGUUUCUGUUCCUAUUAGCCACCACGGGACAGAAAUAACAGCUGGCAGCAUUUCUUACAAUUUUGUUUAACCGCUCUCGUUCGGCUAGCUUUUGAAACUUUUCUCAAAAGCAAUGACGGCAUCAGCGUCCUCAGCAUAUUCUGCCUACUCUAAGUCUUGUUGCUGCUUCCAAUAGAGAUGAUAAUUCUUCUUUGCCAUCAUCACACAGGGGUGUGCUUUUGCAGGGUGAAGUGGCUGCAAUAAUACCUCUAUUCAUUGUUGCGAAUAGCAAAACCUUUAUGUAGGUUCUGAGGCAUGGCUGGAAAUGUGAGCAAGAGGCAUCUUGUUUUAUUUACAGCGACGUGCAGACAGCAGGCAGGCAGCCAACACGUUUAUUUCUGUUCAUAUUUAUUACUGCCCGCUAUAGCGCUGCCGCUGCUUGGCAUUUUGUACAGCGCAGGUUCUGGGUACAGCGAGCGAAGUCAUUAAUAUUACGGGAGGACAUUUCGUUGAUGACUUUUAUUAUUUAAAGGCUCUGUGGGAAGCACUAAAGGUUAAGAUGAUCAAAUUCGCUCUCUUCUGCCCUUACAUCUUCCCCGUACCCAAGUCUCCUUCAGCAAGACUGUGUCAGUAAGUUGCUAAAGGCGCUACCUUGUCUUUGCUGUCUUCUGAACUCUUUCUCUUUCCCACUGCAAGUAGCAAGUUACAGCCCCCCACCCCUGCAUUGAUCUGUCUUUUGUUUAAAGAGCUUUUGUCCGCAUCUUGUGAUGAUGCUAAAACAAAUAGAAAGGAGACUUGCCUAAUAACAUAUGGCCCCUGGUGCCAAGGCACGUUGUCCUAGGUGGUUGAUGGUACAACCGCUGCCCUUUCCCCUGCUGCUCUGAGUGCUGUUAAGCUGCCAGCCGACAGAAUUAAUAAUGUCCUCUGCUCUCCAUGCUCUCUGCUUCCACUGGUUAAAUGCUGUCUCCUCAGGAAUCGAGAAGGAGAAGAAGAAGAAGAAAAAAAAGAGUUUAAUUAAUUUUUAAGUGAAUUUCUCUUCACAUUGUUAGAUGACUCACAUCGAUGCUGAUGGUUAUUUUUAAAUGCUGUGUUCUUGCGCUUCGCUUAGUAACUGCAGAGCAGUCCAUCUGAUCCCUUUAAGUGUGACUUUUCCACUAAGAGCAUUUCCCACAGCCUAAAAAUGUCUGUCGUUCAGCUAUUUCCACGUAUUAUUUGUGCUGUUCUGCUUUUCUCAUGGCUUUUAAUCAACGUGUCCUUAAGUAAAGGACAGUAUUUACAUCCUGCAUGGUAAUUGAAACGUAGACUUUAAAAGCUGAAAUAGAUAUUCUGUUAGGGUACACGCAGGAGCAGGUGCACCCUCAGUGAGGACAGGGUGGGUUGAGCCCACCUUCUCGGUAUGGGACGCGUGGCGGGAGGGAGACGUGCUCUGCGGAGCUCAGCUUGGCAGCAAGGGAGCUCAAAUCUGGAGCUCAUCAGCACCAGACCUCCCCUCGAACAUCUCCGAGGGGACAGCAGGACUGACUUCGUAGCCCCCAAACCAUCCACGGUCGUGAAGAAAGGUGCCAGCCUUUGUCCGCUGCGCUCCUGCCGUGGUACUGGCGCCAACAGGGUCCCAGGGAAACGUAAAUGAUACCAGGGCCUUUGUAGGGCUGAAAGAGUUAAGAACUAAUGGAGGAGCUAAAGUGUUUUUAGCUCCCUGCUUUCCUGUAAAUCUAUGCCAGGCUGCACAUACAAGACUGAAAGGGCUGUAGCUUCUGUUCGGGGAAAAAAAUACAUAACUCGUAAGAUUUCCCACAAAAAGCCAUGGACCUUUUCCCUCUGUUUCUUCUUGUCUCUGAACACCCUUUUUUUCCCAUGAAGUGCAUACAGCUGGAAUGGGAUUUUUCAGAUGUGGUAAGAAUUGUUCUAAAUCUGUUCCCAUCAAAGCUAGUGUAGAAAAACAACUUCUCCUGACAGUGCCAAGAAUUUAGGCCAAUACUGAGAAUUGUGAAAGUCUUUAUCUUUGGCCUAGCUUGGUGUUUGCUUUUGUUUAUGUCUUAGUGGGGUAUAUAAUAACAUCUGUUUGUUGUUUUCCUACUGGAAAAUAAAUUCAAAGAGAAGCAAUAUUCUUGCCAUCUUUUUUAUUAUUGUUUUUACCAUUAAAUGUUGAUUUGUGCACUGUUUUGAUACACCACACUUUUUUCCAUUUUUGCCUCACGUCAGGUAGUUGCCUUAUAUAGAAUACACCCUUGCCCAGUCUUCUCUCACUGUUUGUUAAAACAAUAUAUAAUACCUCUAUAUUGUGGAUCUCUCAGGACAAUGCUCACUCAUUCUUCACACAUUAUUUUCAAAGAAUUGGUUAUUUACAGUGUAACCCAGGAGGGUAAUGGUAAUCCUGACUAUUUACCAUCCUGCUGUCCUAGUACCUUAAUAAAGAUGAGUAGUAUUUAACUGCCAGGCAUCAGAGAUCUCUUUAUUUUAAUUAGCAAGGGUGCUUUUCCUAUCAUUUUCCUGGGAACAAAAUAUAUCCUAGAAGAUUCCUUACUCAGCUCGCCUAGCUGUUGAUUUGGAGUGAAUUAAAGGAAACAUACUGUGAAAGGUGACUAGCUGGGGAAAAAAAUAAAGUAUAACAUUAAACAAUAUAAAUGUUCCAGCCUUUUGCUCCAUCAAACCUUAGGGCAAUGUCUUUUCAAUGUCAUGCUUUAGUAAAAGUCUUUUUAGCCCAUGCAUGUCUUUCUAAACAAGACAGACAAAAGCUUUUAUUUUAAAAGCAAACAGCUAAGUGAUUUGCUGUACACUUGCCAUGAAUAGUAACGAGUAGAUUUGUGGUGUGUUCCUCUUUUUAAUUAGCACAUUGCUAUAACCUGACUGCUGCUGUUGCUGUAUGGAUGAGCACUGUCUUAUUACCAUGUGUCUAGAGGAUACCACUUGGAGCAGUUCAUGAAACAAGUUAGAAAAAAAAAUACCAUAGAGUAUUCUUGGGAUUGGCUUAAAAUACUUUUACAUUACACUUGCUUUUUUUCUGGACAGAAUUGGCUGUUUAAGCUGAAAGUAAACCCAAUUGUAGGUAUUGUGUUGUCUAAAAAUAACCCUAAAAGAGAUUUUUCAUGAGCUUAGUUGGGAAAGGGUUAUCUUCCAGAACUAGAAUACAAGGUGUAUACGUUGUUUUACAAACAAAAGCAUUGCUAGGCUCAGUUCUCUUAUUACAAGCCAUUUCCAUACACCUUACAUGUAAUGGCAUUGUAAAGUUUCAUAAUUGAAUAAGAUGGAAAGGAGAAAUUUAAAACAAAUCACCUUUUUGGUAAAUUUAUCUGAUCUACUGUUUGAAAUGCUUCUCAAAAUUCUCCCGGCUGUUCCAGGCAGAGCAGAAUUUUAAAGUAGUAAUGUUAAGGUAGAAAAAUACUAGGACUGCUGUUGAAUGAUAGGGAGAAUGGAGACUGACCAGAAACGCUGUCACAAGUUUCAGGUGAUGAAAGAAGAAAAGAAAAGGGUAGGCACAUAGAAACCCAUAGUCCAUGCUCUCAGCUGCACUUUUAAUGGGGACUUGUGGCGAUUCAGAAAAACGUGCUAAGAUACAUACCACACCAAUAUAUACCAUACCUGUUAAUUAACAAAUCAUAAAAAGAUAUCAAAGAAUAAAAUAGCAUGGCCAAAUCUACUGUCAGCUUCUUCUCUUGCUGCAGCUAGCAGAGAUAUCCCGUUUGGAGACUUAACGCAAAUUUGCAUCUCAUGCUGGCUUCACCGCCGGAGGAUGUUCAAGGUUUUCCUAUGUUAGGAUUUUGCUAAUUCAAAGUGUGUGGAAGUGAAAAGAAUUGAUACACUUCUCUGUUCUACAGAGUGUAAUUGAGUAUAAAUAUGCUAUGGCUUUUUAGACUUCACAUCAUUUCGGAAUGUGGUAAACUCCUUUGUAUUUGUACAAUACAGUUGUGUGUGUGUAAGACAUAUGGAUUUCUUUUAAAGGCGACUUGUAAUUCUGCCUGCUGCUUUUUGAAGGACUUGGAUUUUCAGAUGGUGCAAUUCUGAUCACUCACAGUGUGACACUCAGGUCACCAAGUCACAUGCUGCUUUUGGAGAUCUUGUUCAAAUCUUUUGGAGAUCUUGUUCAAGAUCUUUUGGAGAUCUUGUUCAAGUGUAUGGAGAGAAAUAAAGGAUGUUACUGUAUUAGCUAAGGUCUAAUCGUUACCCAUGGUUGCCCUGAUUGAAUUUGCAGACCGUGAGCAAUGAAAUGGUUCUAAAUCCUUUUAUAUUGAAACACAUUAUUUAUAUAUGGCAUGUAUGUUGCAAAAAAUUUAACUAUCUUAAGGCUUUAAAACCCUUUUUUUGUCCUAUGGGAUUUUGUAACCCAUUGCCUGGAAAAUCAAGAGUCUAAAAAUGCAGGGCUGAGAACAGGAAAAUUAUUAAA